UAUACUGUACUAAGUCGGGGGAUACGGACCAGCGCGUGCAUGGCUCCUCUCAGCAGGGUCUUCUCGGUCCCAGGCCCCCUGACGAGGGCGUGCCUCACAGCUGGCAGGGUCCCGGGUUGCUCUACCUUAGCGGCUGCUGUUCCUGUUCUGCCGCCGUGGGAGACCCAGCACUCCUCUCCAAAGGCAGUUGGGAAAUCUGAGAAACGUACUGAGCGCCUGCUGUGUACCUGUCACUCUGUGUUUCACGGUAUGCAAGUAGUUGGAAUGGCCAGCAAGACAUAGUACCACACAAGAAAAAGCUUUUAGCCUUGCAGCCUGAGACCACCAGGGACAAUCUUUAGACAAGUGGUCUGGAACUCAGCCUAUCGUAUCUCUAUGGAAUACCCAUAUACAAUUUGAUGAGUCUGACAUACACCUUUGAAACAACAAUCAAGAUCAUUCUCCACUGAAUUCUAGGAGAAAUCUAAGGGCAACAUCUCAUGACCUGGCAAUAAAGAGGAUGAAUCAGAAAGAAA
Molecule: long non-coding RNA, 515 nt
Organism: Prionailurus viverrinus (fishing cat)
Lineage: Eukaryota; Metazoa; Chordata; Mammalia; Carnivora; Felidae
Exons: 3
Source: RefSeq, a predicted model, not a curated record